AAGUCGAGCGGACCGACGGGAGCUUGCUCCCUUAGGUCAGCGGCGGACGGGUGAGUAACACGUGGGUAACCUGCCUGUAAGACUGGGAUAACUCCGGGAAACCGGGGCUAAUACCGGAUGCUUGAUUGAACCGCAUGGUUCAAUCAUAAAAGGUGGCUUUUAGCUACCACUUGCAGAUGGACCCGCGGCGCAUUAGCUAGUUGGUGAGGUAACGGCUCACCAAGGCGACGAUGCGUAGCCGACCUGAGAGGGUGAUCGGCCACACUGGGACUGAGACACGGCCCAGACUCCUACGGGAGGCAGCAGUAGGGAAUCUUCCGCAAUGGACGAAAGUCUGACGGAGCAACGCCGCGUGAGUGAUGAAGGUUUUCGGAUCGUAAAACUCUGUUGUUAGGGAAGAACAAGUACCGUUCGAAUAGGGCGGUACCUUGACGGUACCUAACCAGAAAGCCACGGCUAACUACGUGCCAGCAGCCGCGGUAAUACGUAGGUGGCAAGCGUUGUCCGGAAUUAUUGGGCGUAAAGCGCGCGCAGGCGGUUUCUUAAGUCUGAUGUGAAAGCCCCCGGCUCAACCGGGGAGGGUCAUUGGAAACUGGGGAACUUGAGUGCAGAAAAAGAAAGUGGAAUUCCACGUGUAGCGGUGAAAUGNGUAAAGAUGUGGAGGAACACCAG
RNAcentral lists this ribosomal RNA (672 nucleotides) under Bacillus licheniformis. RNAcentral's name for it is "bacterial SSU rRNA". It matches the Rfam family "Bacterial small subunit ribosomal RNA", at positions 59 to 712 of the family's 1533-position model. Lineage: Bacteria; Bacillati; Bacillota; Bacilli; Caryophanales; Bacillaceae. The record is from RNAcentral.